UCCUGGCUCAGAUUGAACGCUGGCGGCAGGCCUAACACAUGCAAGUCGAGCGGAUGAAAGGGGCUUGCUCCUGGAUUCAGCGGCGGACGGGUGAGUAAUGCGCAGGAAUCUACCUAGUAGUGGGGGAUAACGUUUCGAAAGGAACGCUAAUACCGCAUACGUUCUGAGGAAGAAAGCAGGGGACCUUCGGGCCUUGCGCUAUCAGAUGAGCCCAGGUCGGAUUAGCUAGUAGGUGAGGUAAAGGCUCACCUAGGCGACGAUCCGUAGCUGGUCUGAGAGGAUGAUCAGCCACACUGGAACUGAGACACGGUCCAGACUCCUACGGGAGGCAGCAGUGGGGAAUUUUGGACAAUGGGGGCAACCCUGAUCCAGCAAUGCCGCGUGAGUGAAGAAGGCCUUCGGGUUGUAAAGCUCUUUUGUUUGGGAAGAAAUCCCUAAGGAUAAUACCCUUGGGGGAUGACGGUACCAAAAGAAUAAGCACCGGCUAACUACGUG
RNAcentral lists this ribosomal RNA (495 nucleotides) under uncultured bacterium. RNAcentral describes it as "bacterial SSU rRNA". It matches the Rfam family "Bacterial small subunit ribosomal RNA", at positions 17 to 507 of the family's 1533-position model. The record is from RNAcentral.